UACGGAGGGUGCAAACGUUGCUCGGAAUCAUUGGGCGUAAAGCGCACGUAGGCGGUCCGGUAAGUCGGUUGUGAAAGUCCAGGGCUCAACCCUGGGAUGCCGAUCGAUACUGUCGGACUAGAGUUCGGAAGAGGCGAGUGGAAUUCCCGGUGUAGCGGUGAAAUGCGCAGAUAUCGGGAGGAACACCAAUGGCGAAGGCAGCUCGCUGGGACGUUACUGACGCUGAGACGCGAAAGCGUGGGGAGCAAACAGG
RNAcentral lists this ribosomal RNA (253 nucleotides) under uncultured bacterium. Its description in RNAcentral is "partial 16S ribosomal RNA". It matches the Rfam family "Bacterial small subunit ribosomal RNA", at positions 524 to 776 of the family's 1533-position model. The record is from RNAcentral.